AUUGAACGCUGGCGGCAGGCCUAACACAUGCAAGUCGAACGAGUGGCGGACGGGUGAGUAAUGUCUGGGAAACUGCCUGAUGGAGGGGGAUAACUACUGGAAACGGUAGCUAAUACCGCAUACCAUCGGAUGUGCCCCGAUGGGAUUAGCUAGUAGGUGGGGUAAAGGCUCACCUAGGCGACGAUCCCUAGCUGGUCUGAGCGGAUGACCAGCCACACUGGAACUGAGACAGGGUCCAGACUCCUACGGGAGGCAGCAGUGGGGAAUAUGGCACAAGGGGCGCAAGCCGGAUGCAGCCAUGCAGGGUGUGUGAAGAAGGCCUUCGGGUGGUAAAGCACGUUCAGCGGGGAGGCGUUACCCGCAGAAGAAGCACCGGCUAAGUACGUGCCAGCAGCCGCGGUAAUAC
This 406-nucleotide ribosomal RNA is filed under the name uncultured bacterium. RNAcentral describes it as "partial 16S ribosomal RNA". It matches the Rfam family "Bacterial small subunit ribosomal RNA", at positions 29 to 526 of the family's 1533-position model. The record is from RNAcentral.